Long non-coding RNA from Thunnus maccoyii (southern bluefin tuna), 596 nucleotides. RefSeq lists it as uncharacterized. The record is from RefSeq and is a predicted model, not a curated record. Lineage: Eukaryota; Metazoa; Chordata; Actinopteri; Scombriformes; Scombridae. The transcript has 2 exons.
CCCGUUCCAUAACCAAGACCUCUACUUGUACUCAGCCCUGCCUGAUCCACACUGCCAGAUCAUAGCCUCUGCUUCAAGCCAUUUCUGCCUGCAUUUAUCAGUUAUCUUGUUGUUGCCAGUUUUCCCUAUUCUGACACUGUCUCCUGUUCUCUGCAGUCCCGUCUGCUCUGUCUUCGGUCCCUGUCUCCUGUCCCUCGUCUGGUCAGCCCUGCAUCCCUGCCCUGGACCCUUGUUCUACUCUGCUUUGCCCCCACAGAUUCCGCUCCGGACCUGCUCCCCUUGUCCAGCCCAAGCCUCAGCCCCAGAAACCGAGCUCCAUCCACCAUCAUCGAGGAUCUUCUGAUUCCUUAAAUGAACCUCAGAGGAGGCUCCUGGAGGAGCUUAGAGCAUGGAACCACAGGUGUAUCCUCUGUGGAAGUUUUUUACUGGACUGCAACACCCCUUUAAUUGUCUUUAUUGAUUGGUCAGCUGAUCUGACGGGACAGUAUAGUUGUUGUUAUACAGAAGAACAGGAAAACUACCUGUGGAACAGGAAUGACAGCACCUACAGCAGCUUUUCAUAUCUAUUCAUAAAAUAAAAAUUACUGAAACAUGAA